AACGGCGAGUGAAGCGGCAAAAGCUCAAAUUUGAAAUCCUGCGGGAAUUGUAAUUUGAAGGUUUCGUGGUCUGAGUCGGCCGCGCCCAAGUCCAUUGGAACAUGGCGCCUGGGAGGGUGAGAGCCCCGUAUGGCGCACGCCGACUCUUUGCACCGCGGCUCCGACGAGUCGAGUUGUUUGGGAAUGCAGCUCUAAGUGGGUGGUAAAUUCCAUCUAAAGCUAAAUAUUGGCGAGAGACCGAUAGCGAACAAGUACAGUGAUGGAAAGAUGAAAAGCACUUUGAAAAGAGAGUGGAAACAGCACGUGAAAUUGUUGAAAGGGAAGGGCUUGCAAGCAGACACGGUUUUACCGGGCCAGCGUCGAAAAGGGGGGAGGAACAAGAACUCGAGAAUGUGGCGCGCACCUUCGGGCGCGCGUGUUAUAGCUCGUGUUGACGCCUCCAUCCCUUUUCGAGGCCUGCGAUUCUAGGACGCUGGCGUAAUGGUUGCAAGCCGC
This 495-nucleotide ribosomal RNA is filed under the name Clavispora lusitaniae. RNAcentral describes it as "LSU rRNA". It matches the Rfam family "Eukaryotic large subunit ribosomal RNA", at positions 85 to 648 of the family's 3401-position model. Lineage: Eukaryota; Fungi; Ascomycota; Pichiomycetes; Serinales; Metschnikowiaceae. The record is from RNAcentral.